GAUAAAGGGGUUCCUAGAAAAUAGCCAGCCCCUCCUCUUCCCGAGAAUCCUGGGUAUGUGGAAGAAGGAUCUUUGCUUGAGAAACAGGAAGGUGUUGCACAGUUGCGGGACAGGAGGGAGCAAAAAGGGCUGGUGGCGCCCAGGCCCUCUGGACGGGCUUUGCCUCUAUUGCCCUUGGUGCAGAUGGCCUUGAGGGGCCUCUUGUUCCUCCUGUCCCUGUUUGGUUUCCAUGGGAACUGGAGUGUCAGCGUCAUCACUUUGCCAAGGUGAAAUAAACCAGGAUGUCUUGAAUACUCAUGGACAAACCAUCACCCACAGAAGAAAACAUCUAAAACCUACGGUGCGCUUCCUCGGGGCCCUUCCACUUGCUCUCACGUUUUAGAAGUUCCAUUAGAUGUCCUCAGUUCCACAUGUUCUCUGACUCUUCCCUAUUUUCCAGCUGUUUUGUGUUUGGCAAGUGGUGAUGAUUGCUUAUUGAAUGAAUUCAGAGAGCUGUACUCUGAUAAAGUGCCUAGCACAAUGUCUGGAAAACAACAAGGACUCAGUGCAUCUUGGAAAGAAGAAAUUCUUCCCCCUGUCAACUUGGAGUGACUUAGAAUCAUCCUGAAAAUAAAUCUCAGAGCAUGUCAGGGAAGGGGUUUUCUAGAUUAGGUUACUAGAGAUAGAAGGAUCCACUGACUGUGGGUAGCACUAUCCCAU
Jaculus jaculus (lesser Egyptian jerboa) is the source of this 699-nucleotide long non-coding RNA. RefSeq lists it as uncharacterized. The transcript has 3 exons. The record is from RefSeq and is a predicted model, not a curated record. Lineage: Eukaryota; Metazoa; Chordata; Mammalia; Rodentia; Dipodidae.